AAUCAACCGAGAUUCCCCCAGUAGCGGCGAGCGAACGGGGAGCAGCCCAGAGCCUGAAUCAGUAUGUGUGUUAGUGGAAGCGUCUGGAAAGGCGCGCGAUACAGGGUGACAGCCCCGUACACAAAAAUGCACAUGCUGUGAGCUCGAUGAGUAGGGCGGGACACGUGGUAUCCUGUCUGAAUAUGGGGGGACCAUCCUCCAAGGCUAAAUACUCCUGACUGACCGAUAGUGAACCAGUACCGUGAGGGAAAGGCGAAAAGAACCCCGGCGAGGGGAGUGAAAAAGAACCUGAAACCGUGUACGUACAAGCAGUGGGAGCACGCUUAGGCGUGUGACUGCGUACCUUUUGUAUAAUGGGUCAGCGACUUAUAUUCUGUAGCAAGGUUAACCGAAUAGGGGAGCCGAAGGGAAACCGAGUCUUAACUGGGCGUUAAGUUGCAGGGUAUAGACCCGAAACCCGGUGAUCUAGCCAUGGGCAGGUUGAAGGUUGGGUAACACUAACUGGAGGACCGAACCGACUAAUGUUGAAAAAUUAGCGGAUGACUUGUGGCUGGGGGUGAAAGGCCAAUCAAACCGGGAGAUAGCUGGUUCUCCCCGAAAGCUAUUUAGGUAGCGCCUCGUGAAUUCAUCUCCGGGGGUAGAGCACUGUUUCGGCAAGGGGGUCAUCCCGACUUACCAACCCGAUGCAAACUGCGAAUACCGGAGAAUGUUAUCACGGGAGACACACGGCGGGUGCUAACGUCCGUCGUGAAGAGGGAAACAACCCAGACCGCCAGCUAAGGUCCCAAAGUCAUGGUUAAGUGGGAAACGAUGUGGGAAGGCCCAGACAGCCAGGAUGUUGGCUUAGAAGCAGCCAUCAUUUAAAGAAAGCGUAAUAGCUCACUGGUCGAGUCGGCCUGCGCGGAAGAUGUAACGGGGCUAAACCAUGCACCGAAGCUGCGGCAGCGACGCUGAUGCGUUGUUGGGUA
RNAcentral lists this ribosomal RNA (968 nucleotides) under Escherichia coli. RNAcentral's name for it is "partial 23S ribosomal RNA". It matches the Rfam family "Bacterial large subunit ribosomal RNA", at positions 223 to 1230 of the family's 2925-position model. Lineage: Bacteria; Pseudomonadati; Pseudomonadota; Gammaproteobacteria; Enterobacterales; Enterobacteriaceae. The record is from RNAcentral.